Molecule: non-coding RNA, 104 nt
Filed under: Acidobacteriota bacterium
Lineage: Bacteria; Pseudomonadati; Acidobacteriota
Description: Acidobacteria bacterium c-di-GMP-II sequence
Rfam family: c-di-GMP-II-GAG riboswitch aptamer
Source: RNAcentral
ACAAUGCGUGGAGGCAAGGAGCCGAGGGCUUAACUUGGUCGCUGACCAGUCCGCUCGGAUUGGUAAGCCUUCGGGGAGCCAGUAGCGAAACCGGCCACAAUUGU